RNAcentral lists this ribosomal RNA (442 nucleotides) under uncultured bacterium. Its description in RNAcentral is "partial 16S ribosomal RNA". It matches the Rfam family "Bacterial small subunit ribosomal RNA", at positions 29 to 507 of the family's 1533-position model. The record is from RNAcentral.
AUGAACGCUGGCGGCAUGCCUAACACAUGCAAGUCGCUCGGUAAGGCUCUUCGGAGUACACGAGAGGCGGACGGCUGAGUAACGCGUAGGAACACACCCUGCAGUGAGGGAUAAGACACCGAAAGGUGUUCUAAUACCGCAUACGGUCUUCGGAUUAAAGCAUUUAUGCGCUGAAGGAGUGGCCUGCGUCAUAUUAGAUAGUUGGCGAGGUAAUGGCUCACCAAGUCGAUGAUGUGUAGCUGGUCUGAGAGGAUGAUCAGCCAGACUGGAACUGAGACACGGUCCAGACUCCUACGGGAGGCAGCAGUGAGGAAUAUUUCACAAUGAGCGAAAGCUUGAUGGAGCAAUGCCGCGUGCAGGAUGAAGGCCCUCGGGUUGUAAACUGCUUUUAUAAGAGAAGAUUAUGACGGUAACUUAUGAAUAAGGGACGGCUAACUACGUG